Molecule: long non-coding RNA, 1365 nt
Organism: Aedes aegypti (yellow fever mosquito)
Lineage: Eukaryota; Metazoa; Arthropoda; Insecta; Diptera; Culicidae
Exons: 2
Source: RefSeq, a predicted model, not a curated record
UUCAAAGUUUGUUUGUAGAUAUAGGUGUUCGCAACCCCUGGACUGAUUUAAAAAAAAUACAACAAUAAAUUUAUUUUGGUAGUUUCGGUUAGCAGUCUUUCAAAAUUGCGUUGAUUAAUUAUUUAUCAUCACCGUCGUUUCGGUCCGGCUGUUGGACCAUCUUCUCUUUGGAAAUCACGGGAUAAGACAUUUUUUAAUUUUAAAUGUGUUCUACCUACAUAUUGCAUAAUAAUCAAUUUCGCCCCUGAGGAUCAAUUUUAUUCUCCUUAGUCAUUUUUAUUUUAUUUUAUCUAAAAUCAAUCACGUAGGCGUACAGAGAUUAACGAUGUUCUGAUUUUGUUGAAAUUAGUUUGAAAAUAUUUGAAAUGCCAAUAAUAAUACAUAAAUCAGAAACUUCUAAAAUAUCGAUGAAUUUGUCUCUGAUUUACGGUGUUUGAAAAACGUUUAUCUGAAUUUAAUCCUUCUGACAGUUGCUAUUAAGGCUCAAGAGAGAAUCGAGCAUUUUCCAAAAACGAAAAAGCAGUUUUUAUUAGGUAGUCCAAAAAAUCACGAAAAACAAGAUCGUCCAUUUACCAUGUUUAACAAAAUAGAGACUCGGGAUUUUAUAUUUUUCUAGAGUUGUUUCAGAAGAGAACGAUUUGUAUUUGAACCUUAAGAAUAUUUUCGUGGUGUUCAUCUGAUAAAAACACUAAUAUCAUUGUUUUUCAUAUAAUUUGUUGAUCUGUACUAUCAAAAGAGCGUAAUUUCAAAACGGACUCUACUAUAUUUUUUUUAAAUUGCUCUGCCAUGCAUUUCAGCCACAGAUUUGAUGUAGAUUUUCUUCUGAUAACAACGGUCUGGGGAGCACCGUGACGCCAUUCGGUGCUGGUGGUCGACCAAAAAGCUGCUCUUUCGAGUUCAGCCAAGCCGAAUCCCGGCUUUACUCUUCUGCUGUAUCCGAUCAACCGAGCAACCCUUUUCCGGUUUCCUAUAUUUAUAUACCCGCCCCGCGCGCAGAGAGAAUAGCGUUUUUAUGAAGGGUGGAACCGCCAUGGGGAAGGAAUCUUUCGAGGGAAAACGCCAAAUUUAAUUUUGUGGCCACUUUUCCGAUUCGAUUCCUUCGUUUGUGAGGGACAAAGUGGAUUCGGCGGAAAUUCCUCCAACAUUGUAAAUAAAAUCUGUAUCUAGAAAUCAUCGAUUGUGAAUAGAAGUUUUCCCCUUUCUACGUUUACUAACAAAGUGAGGCUACUCGAGGUAUUAUCGUCUGAUGGAUAUUUAACCAAAGGUCCCCUCUUAAUGAUAGUUAGUGCAAAUGUUUCAAAAAUCGAAGUCAAUAAACCAGUAAAAUCUGUACCGAAAAGUAUUAUUCAUAUACAACUGAAAACA